CGAUAUUUAAGCGUUACGACGUCAUAUGUCACGGUCACAUUGGACGUGUCGAAUAAAUUUGCAGCGUAAUAUUUAUCAGUCGGGAUUACGACCACGAGACUGACGGCCCAAUAAGAAAUCUGGAACUGAAAGGAAGGAUGAUUUCAUGAGGAGGGUGAACUUACGACUGUUGUUCUUGGACGGGGUUUAACACCGAGAUGAGAUUUUCACAUCCAGCAGCAGAAGCCUGAGAUGGAUAGACAAAGCCAGAUGAGAAUUUCUGGUUAGGGAGACCAAUGCUAUUAUGUUAUGUACAUACACACAACAAUGCAGUCUCAGUCUUAAAACAGCCAUGGGGUUGGUUUUUUGUAGUUUAGGUAGUUAAGGUCAUUGUGGUUUAGUGUACAUAUGAACAGAAAAUAAAUGACACGCUGUCUUGCUAAGGCGUCAGUUCUUAGAGCCAAGAGACUUAAAAGCCUUUGACCAGUUUACUUAAAUACACGCCAAGUCUCAUUCUGAUCGAUGAUUCCAAUAGUAUUGAUAUAGUUCCAGCAAUAAUACUUUCAUUUCACUCGGUGAUGAAGCAGAUCAACCAGAAGAGACGUACAUACGUCAGCAUUGAUAGGAGGAUCCAUCUAUUCAGACCGAGAGGAUGAAACAGAAACCGAAGCUAGGAUUGUCUAAGAAGCAGAGCCAUGUUCUGUCAAUAAAUCACACGGUGGUAUGUAACGAGUUUUUGUUCCACAAAAUUCCAUUAGCAUGAUUUGGUUUCUGGGUAUUUAUGGUCCAUUUAAGACCACCAGACAUCCCACCAUGGUGCACCGCUCGACAGUCGACUGCUUGUUAGAAGAAGGCAAGUUAUUUGACUUGUGAACUUGUCCUCUUUUAAACUUUUGAGUAAAUGUUCGACUCAAAAUUAGUCGAAAUAUAGAAGCAUUUUAAUCUGAGAAUAACCGAUCUAAAUUUGAUGUAGUGAAAUAAUAUGGAAUAAAUUAAGGUUGUAUUUUGAAUUUAUUUUAUACAUGUCAAGAUUCGAAUGUAAUUUAUACCAUUGACCAUAUGUAUACUCAUAAUAACAUGUAAAAAGUCUCGAUACUUGCUUUCCGUGAUUGCUACAUAAUACUCUCUACAUAUUUUGUUUCUUAAUUAUCACAAGUACGACUAAGCUAACCCACAAACGAAGUGGAAUACGGCGAAACUAGUAAUAUAAAAUGAACCUUAU
Molecule: long non-coding RNA, 1201 nt
Organism: Folsomia candida
Lineage: Eukaryota; Metazoa; Arthropoda; Collembola; Entomobryomorpha; Isotomidae
Exons: 2
Source: RefSeq, a predicted model, not a curated record